Molecule: ribosomal RNA, 431 nt
Filed under: uncultured bacterium
Lineage: Bacteria
Description: partial 16S ribosomal RNA
Rfam family: Bacterial small subunit ribosomal RNA
Source: RNAcentral
AACGAACGCUGGCGGCAGGCUUAACACAUGCAAGUCGAGCGCCCCGCAAGGGGGGCGGCAGCCGGGUGGGUAACGCGUGGGAACGUACCUUUUGGUUCGGAACAACUCCGGGAAACUGGAGCUACUACCGGAUAAGCCCUAACGGGGAAAGAUUUAUCGCCGAAAGAUCGGCCCGCGUCUGAUUAGCUAGUUGGUGAGGUAACGGCUCACCAAGGCGACGAUCAGUAGCUGGUCUGAGAGGAUGAUCAGCCACACUGGGACUGAGACACGGCCCAGACUCCUACGGGAGGCAGCAGUGGGGAAUAUUGGACAAUGGGCGCAAGCCUGAUCCAGCCAUGCCGCGUGAGUGAUGAAGGCCUUAGGGUUGUAAAGCUCUUUUGUCCGGGAAGAUAAUGACUGUACCGGAAGAAUAAGCCCCGGCUAACUUCGUG